This is a non-coding RNA of Pelobates cultripes (western spadefoot toad), 750 nucleotides long. Lineage: Eukaryota; Metazoa; Chordata; Amphibia; Anura; Pelobatidae. The record is from the annotation of a GenBank genome assembly.
CUGAUUGGCCAGGGCUGUGUUUGAAUCAUGCUGGCUCUGCCCCGAUCUGCCUCUUUGUCAGUCUCAGCCAAUCCUAUGGGGAAGCAUUGUGAUUGGAUCAGACCACCACUUCUAAUGAUGUCAGCAGACUGCUUGUUUUUCUGAGUCUAACAGCAUGCAGAGUUACAGCUUCAGGCUUGAAUACAGUAAGAUUUAGCUAUAUUUAUGGAGGCAUGAGGGGCCCAGGGGGGCUAGAUGGUGGUGUUAACACUAUAGGGUCAGGAAUACAUGUAGUUGCACUGGUGACUAUAGUGUCCCUUUAACGUCUUUACUGAAACCUCCAUCAGCAAAGAAAUAUUUAACAGAACUUUUGCAAACAACCAAUCAGAACAAAAUAACAGCAGUAUAAAAUCCCUCAGUCAGAUCCUCCCACUUCCUCUUUCUUUGAGGCCGAGCAGGAGAGCAUAAAAAACCAACGAAUACACCUUGUAUCAGGCACAUCUAGAGAAGAAACUGGCAGAACCAGAGAGAACCCAGAUUACACUGCAAGGAACACAAACAUUGUGAAAGUAAACUGCCAGGGCAGAAUGCCAUACCAUAUACAUCAUCACUUCAACGGCACAGUACAUGCACACGGACAAUCACCAACGUAUAAUAGAAACAUAUUCAUUAAACAAACAGGAGACCAUACAUUACAAAAAACAUAACAUUAACAUAGAGAAAAAAACUAUUCCAAGGAGGGAAAUCUCAAUGAGGGAAAUAUUCGCCUCC